This 486-nucleotide ribosomal RNA is filed under the name uncultured bacterium. RNAcentral describes it as "partial 16S ribosomal RNA". It matches the Rfam family "Bacterial small subunit ribosomal RNA", at positions 30 to 507 of the family's 1533-position model. The record is from RNAcentral.
AUUGAACGCUGGCGGCAUGCCUUACACAUGCAAGUCGAACGGCAGCACGGGUGCUUGCACCUGGUGGCGAGUGGCGAACGGGUGAGUAAUACAUCGGAACAUGUCCUGUAGUGGGGGAUAGCCCGGCGAAAGCCGGAUUAAUACCGCAUACGAUCUACGGAUGAAAGCGGGGGACCUUCGGGCCUCGCGCUAUAGGGUUGGCCGAUGGCUGAUUAGCUAGUUGGUGGGGUAAAGGCCUACCAAGGCGACGAUCAGUAGCUGGUCUGAGAGGACGACCAGCCACACUGGGACUGAGACACGGCCCAGACUCCUACGGGAGGCAGCAGUGGGGAAUUUUGGACAAUGGGCGAAAGCCUGAUCCAGCAAUGCCGCGUGUGUGAAGAAGGCCUUCGGGUUGUAAAGCACUUUUGUCCGGAAGGAAAUCCUUGGCUCUAAUACAGUCGGGGGAUGACGGUACCGGAAGAAUAAGCACCGGCUAACUACGUG